This 118-nucleotide ribosomal RNA is filed under the name Actinomycetota bacterium. The record is from RNAcentral. Lineage: Bacteria; Bacillati; Actinomycetota.
CUCGGCGGCCAUAGCGAGGGGGUUCACACCUCUUCCCAUUCCGAACAGAGAAGUUAAGCCCCUCAGCGCCGAUGGUACUUGGCCCGCAAGGGCCUGGGAGAGUAGGUCGCCGCCGGUU